AUUAAGGAUGUUUAAACGCUUUCAAAAAUCAUGAUCAUUCAAUUAAGAAAAGGGGAUUGAACAGAUGGGUACUCUUGUAUGCCAAACUUGUAACUCUACUAUUGAUCAUUUUGAAGAUGAAAAAGUAACAGUGCUUUAUUCGAAGUGUAACUGUUGCGAUGACCAUCACAAUGCAGAAGAGAAAUAAAUUUU
Molecule: small RNA, 192 nt
Filed under: Neobacillus bataviensis LMG 21833
Lineage: Bacteria; Bacillati; Bacillota; Bacilli; Caryophanales; Bacillaceae
Description: Bacillus bataviensis LMG 21833 SR1 sRNA
Rfam family: SR1 sRNA
Source: Rfam by way of RNAcentral